Molecule: ribosomal RNA, 472 nt
Filed under: Serratia marcescens
Lineage: Bacteria; Pseudomonadati; Pseudomonadota; Gammaproteobacteria; Enterobacterales; Yersiniaceae
Description: bacterial SSU rRNA
Rfam family: Bacterial small subunit ribosomal RNA
Source: RNAcentral
ACGGGUGAGUAAUGUCUGGGAAACUGCCUGAUGGAGGGGGAUAACUACUGGAAACGGUAGCUAAUACCGCAUAACGUCGCAAGACCAAAGAGGGGGACCUUCGGGCCUCUUGCCAUCAGAUGUGCCCAGAUGGGAUUAGCUAGUAGGUGGGGUAAUGGCUCACCUAGGCGACGAUCCCUAGCUGGUCUGAGAGGAUGACCAGCCACACUGGAACUGAGACACGGUCCAGACUCCUACGGGAGGCAGCAGUGGGGAAUAUUGCACAAUGGGCGCAAGCCUGAUGCAGCCAUGCCGCGUGUGUGAAGAAGGCCUUCGGGUUGUAAAGCACUUUCAGCGAGGAGGAAGGUGGUGAACUUAAUACGUUCAUCAAUUGACGUUACUCGCAGAAGAAGCACCGGCUAACUCCGUGCCAGCAGCCGCGGUAAUACGGAGGGUGCAAGCGUUAAUCGGAAUUACUGGGCGUAAAGCGCAC